RNAcentral lists this ribosomal RNA (721 nucleotides) under Staphylococcus aureus. Its description in RNAcentral is "partial 23S ribosomal RNA". It matches the Rfam family "Bacterial large subunit ribosomal RNA", at positions 623 to 1349 of the family's 2925-position model. Lineage: Bacteria; Bacillati; Bacillota; Bacilli; Caryophanales; Staphylococcaceae. The record is from RNAcentral.
GCGAGUUACGAUUUGAUGCAAGGUUAAGCAGUAAAUGUGGAGCCGUAGCGAAAGCGAGUCUGAAUAGGGCGUUUAGUAUUUGGUCGUAGACCCGAAACCAGGUGAUCUACCCUUGGUCAGGUUGAAGUUCAGGUAACACUGAAUGGAGGACCGAACCGACUUACGUUGAAAAGUGAGCGGAUGAACUGAGGGUAGCGGAGAAAUUCCAAUCGAACCUGGAGAUAGCUGGUUCUCUCCGAAAUAGCUUUAGGGCUAGCCUCAAGUGAUGAUUAUUGGAGGUAGAGCACUGUUUGGACGAGGGGCCCCUCUCGGGUUACCGAAUUCAGACAAACUCCGAAUGCCAAUUAAUUUAACUUGGGAGUCAGAACAUGGGUGAUAAGGUCCGUGUUCGAAAGGGAAACAGCCCAGACCACCAGCUAAGGUCCCAAAAUAUAUGUUAAGUGGAAAAGGAUGUGGCGUUGCCCAGACAACUAGGAUGUUGGCUUAGAAGCAGCCAUCAUUUAAAGAGUGCGUAAUAGCUCACUAGUCGAGUGACACUGCGCCGAAAAUGUACCGGGGCUAAACAUAUUACCGAAGCUGUGGAUUGUCCUUUGGACAAUGGUAGGAGAGCGUUCUAAGGGCGUUGAAGCAUGAUCGUAAGGACAUGUGGAGCGCUUAGAAGUGAGAAUGCCGGUGUGAGUAGCGAAAGACGGGUGAGAAUCCCGUCCACCGAUUGACUAAG